AUUGAACGCUGGCGGCAUGCCUUACACAUGCAAGUCGAACGGCAGCGCGGGAGCAAUCCUGGCGGCGAGUGGCGAACGGGUGAGUAAUAUAUCGGAACGUGCCCAGUAGUGGGGGAUAGCCCGGCGAAAGCCGGAUUAAUACCGCAUGAGACCUGAGGGUGAAAGCGGGGGAUCGCAAGACCUCGCGCUACUGGAGCGGCCGAUAUCAGACUAGCUAGUUGGUGGGGUAAAGGGCCUACCAAGGCAACGAUCUGUAGUUGGUCUGAGAGGACGACCAGCCACACUGGGACUGAGACACGGCCCAGACUCCUACGGGAGGCAGCAGUGGGGAAUUUUGGACAAUGGGCGCAAGCCUGAUCCAGCAAUGCCGCGUGCAGGAAGAA
Molecule: ribosomal RNA, 383 nt
Filed under: uncultured bacterium
Lineage: Bacteria
Description: bacterial SSU rRNA
Rfam family: Bacterial small subunit ribosomal RNA
Source: RNAcentral